RNAcentral lists this ribosomal RNA (706 nucleotides) under Vibrio parahaemolyticus. RNAcentral describes it as "partial 23S ribosomal RNA". It matches the Rfam family "Bacterial large subunit ribosomal RNA", at positions 521 to 1232 of the family's 2925-position model. The record is from RNAcentral. Lineage: Bacteria; Pseudomonadati; Pseudomonadota; Gammaproteobacteria; Vibrionales; Vibrionaceae.
GAACCCCUGUGAGGGGAGUGAAAUAGAACCUGAAACCGUGUACGUACAAGCAGUAGGAGCACCUUCGUGGUGUGACUGCGUACCUUUUGUAUAAUGGGUCAGCGACUUAUAUUCAGUGGCAAGGUUAACCAUCUAGGGGAGCCGUAGGGAAACCGAGUCUUAACUGGGCGUUCAGUCUCUGGAUAUAGACCCGAAACCAGGUGAUCUAGCCAUGGGCAGGUUGAAGGUUGAGUAACAUCAACUGGAGGACCGAACCGACUAAUGUUGAAAAAUUAGCGGAUGACUUGUGGCUAGGGGUGAAAGGCCAAUCAAACCUGGAGAUAGCUGGUUCUCCCCGAAAGCUAUUUAGGUAGCGCCUCGGACGAAUACUACUGGGGGUAGAGCACUGUUAAGGCUAGGGGGUCAUCCCGACUUACCAACCCUUUGCAAACUCCGAAUACCAGUAAGUACUAUCCGGGAGACACACGGCGGGUGCUAACGUCCGUCGUGGAGAGGGAAACAACCCAGACCGCCAGCUAAGGUCCCAAAUUACUACUAAGUGGGAAACGAUGUGGGAAGGCUCAGACAGCCAGGAUGUUGGCUUAGAAGCAGCCAUCAUUUAAAGAAAGCGUAAUAGCUCACUGGUCGAGUCGGCCUGCGCGGAAGAUGUAACGGGGCUAAGUAGUAAACCGAAGCUGCGGCAAUAUACUUUUGUAUAUUGGGUAGG